RNAcentral lists this transfer RNA (67 nucleotides) under Marmota monax (woodchuck). RNAcentral's name for it is "tRNA.Ala". It matches the Rfam family "tRNA", at positions 6 to 65 of the family's 71-position model. Rfam says of the family: Transfer RNA (tRNA) molecules are approximately 80 nucleotides in length. The record is from RNAcentral. Lineage: Eukaryota; Metazoa; Chordata; Mammalia; Rodentia; Sciuridae.
GGAUGUGGCUCAGUGGUAGAGCGCUUGCUUAGCAUGUGUGAGGCACUGUGUUCAAUUCUCAGCACCA